GCCGAAGUGGUGGAAUAGGUAGACACGCCAUCUUGAGGGGGUGGUGGGCAAAACCCAUGGGGGUUCGAAUCCCCCCUUCGGCACCA
RNAcentral lists this transfer RNA (86 nucleotides) under Deltaproteobacteria bacterium. RNAcentral's name for it is "tRNA-Leu". It matches the Rfam family "tRNA". From Rfam's summary of the family: Transfer RNA (tRNA) molecules are approximately 80 nucleotides in length. Their secondary structure includes four short double-helical elements and three loops (D, anti-codon, and T loops). Lineage: Bacteria; Pseudomonadati; Myxococcota; Myxococcia. RNAcentral also lists the same sequence under 2 other names. The record is from RNAcentral.